Long non-coding RNA from Leptidea sinapis, 273 nucleotides. RefSeq lists it as uncharacterized. Lineage: Eukaryota; Metazoa; Arthropoda; Insecta; Lepidoptera; Pieridae. The record is from RefSeq and is a predicted model, not a curated record. The transcript is spliced from 2 exons.
AUAUUGUAAAUACGAAAACGCAUUCAAGAGUUACAUGGUUUGUCUUUUAGCUCUAAAAGCCGUAACAGUGGAAAAUCAUAAUUAUGAAGACGAGAAUUUGUCAUUUCACAGAAUGUGUCAUCAAAAUCAAAAUUGGUUCAGCCGUUCCGGGGACUACCUGACAUAAAGAGACACCCAAAAUUAUUGUUUUAUGCUAUUUUAUUGAUAUUAAAACCAUUUUAUUUAUUUGUAUAGUACUGGUUCAACUGUCAUAAAUAUAAAACUUUCGCAUUA